GGAAUAUUGCACAAUGGGGGAAACCCUGAUGCAGCGACGCCGCGUGAGUGAUGAAGUAUUUCGGUACGUAAAACUCUAUCAGCAGGGAAGAAAAUGACGGUACCUGACUAAGAAGCACCGGCUAAAUACGUGCCAGCAGCCGCGGUAAUACGUAUGGUGCAAGCGUUAUCCGGAUUUACUGGGUGUAAAGGGUGCGUAGGUGGCAUGGCAAGUCAGAUGUGAAAUGCCGGGGCUCAACCCCGGAACUGCAUUUGAAACUGUCAAGCUAGAGUACAGGAGAGGAAAGCGGAAUUCCUAGUGUAGCGGUGAAAUGCGUAGAUAUUAGGAGGAACACCAGUGGCGAAGGCGGCUUUCUGGACUGACACUGACACUGAGGCACGAAAGCGUGGGGAGCAAACA
This 399-nucleotide ribosomal RNA is filed under the name uncultured Lachnospiraceae bacterium. Its description in RNAcentral is "bacterial SSU rRNA". It matches the Rfam family "Bacterial small subunit ribosomal RNA", at positions 358 to 774 of the family's 1533-position model. The record is from RNAcentral. Lineage: Bacteria; Bacillati; Bacillota; Clostridia; Lachnospirales; Lachnospiraceae.